CCUACGGGGGACAGCAGUGAGGAAUAUUGGUCAAUGGACGAGAGUCUGAACCAGCCAAGUAGCGUGAAGGAUGACUGCCCUAUGGGUUGUAAACUUCUUUUAUAUGGGAAUAAAACAGGGUAUGCAUACCCUCUUGUAUGUACCAUAUGAAUAAGGAUCGGCUAACUCCGUGCCAGCAGCCGCGGUAAUACGGAGGAUCCGAGCGUUAUCCGGAUUUAUUGGGUUUAAAGGGAGCGUAGGUUGAUUGUUAAGUCAGUUGUGAAAGUUUGAGGCUGAACCGUAAAAGUGCAGUUGAAACUGGCAGUUUUGAGUACGUUAGAGGUAGGCGGAAUGCGGGGUGUCGCGGUUGACCGAUUAGAUAUCACGAAGAACUACGAUUGCGAAGGCAGCUCACUAGACUGAAAAGGACACUGAUGCUCGAAAGUGUGAGUAGCAAACAGGAGUAGAUACCCGAGGAGGC
RNAcentral lists this ribosomal RNA (460 nucleotides) under uncultured bacterium. RNAcentral's name for it is "partial 16S ribosomal RNA". It matches the Rfam family "Bacterial small subunit ribosomal RNA", at positions 338 to 795 of the family's 1533-position model. The record is from RNAcentral.